Molecule: ribosomal RNA, 460 nt
Filed under: uncultured bacterium
Lineage: Bacteria
Description: partial 16S ribosomal RNA
Rfam family: Bacterial small subunit ribosomal RNA
Source: RNAcentral
CCUACGGGAGGCAGCAGUGAGGAAUAUUGGUCAAUGGACGAGAGUCUGAACCAGCCAAGUAGCGUGAAGGAUGACUGCCCUAUGGGUUGUAAACUUCUUUUAUAUGGGAAUAAAACGUUCCACGUGUGGGAUUUUGUAUGUACCAUAUGACUAAGGAUCGGCUAACUCCGUGCCAGCAGCCGCGGUAAUACGGAGGAUCCGAGCGUUCUACGGAUUUAUUGGGUUUAAAGGGAGCGUAGGUGGAUUGUUAAGUCAGUUGUGAAAGUUUGCGGCUCAACCGUAAAAUUGCAGUUGAAACUGGCAGUCUUGAGUACAGUAGAGGUGGGCGGAAGUCGUGGUGUAGCGGUGAAAUGCUUAGAGAUCACGAAGAACUCCGAUUGCGAAGGCAGUUCACUGGCCUGCAACUGACACUGAGGCUCGAAAGUGUGGGUAUCAAACAGGAUUAGAUACCCGGGUAGUC